Molecule: long non-coding RNA, 2240 nt
Organism: Pongo pygmaeus (Bornean orangutan)
Lineage: Eukaryota; Metazoa; Chordata; Mammalia; Primates; Hominidae
Exons: 3
Source: RefSeq, a predicted model, not a curated record
UUGACUGCCUCCUUCUCUGCCACCCUGUAGAGGACUGAAGCAGAGGGUGCUGUUUCAACGCCACCACCAGGAGAGAGGCAGAGGGGCUGUGCUGUGCUAGAGUCCUCAGGGAGGGAGUGACCUCGACCCUGGCUGUGCUGCAAGCUGACUCCAGCCUUGGGGUCAGCAGCAGCAGGGUACCCGACCAUGCCAGAGGGGGCAUAGCUCGGUUUCCCACACCUCACUUUUCACAGCCUCCAAGGGCAGCAGUGCACGUGGAGGAGACGUCUCCCAUGAGGCCAAGGCCUCUAGUGCUCACCGAUGCCCUCUGCGAAGUUGGGGUAGAACUCGUCAGUGAAGAGGGGCCCGGGCAGCUCACGGAAGUAUAGCUUCAGCGUGCCUGCAAUGGCGUUCACGUCCAUCUCGCUCAUCAUCACCGACACGUCCUCGUUAUGUGGAAAGAGCACGGAAAUGCUGCGGCCUCCUUGAGGAUCCCGAUAAAUGAAGAAAAGACACAGAGAAGGAUGUGACAUGCCUGGGCCAUGGAGCGCUCUGAGGUCUCAUCGCGGACACCACUGCCCACACCUCCAUCCCGUCCUGCGCAGGCCGACACUCACUGACGUUGAAGGCUGCCUUCAGUGCCUGGAUGUCUGCGGCCACUCCGGACACGCGGUAGAUGCCCACCUCCUCCAUGCCUCGGCGCUCGAUCUCCACACACUGGCGCGUGAUGUAGGGCACCUUGGACCUCUCUCUCUUGCGGGAGGAGGGAAUGUUCUCAGUGUCCCAACAGUCCUGCUUGGGCCAUAACACAGGAGACCUGCUCCCUAUCUGCACACCCGGAGGCGGGGUGAGGACGGUGACGAAGGUACCCAGGUCUGGGGCUGCACACAGGGCCUUCUGCAUGCCUGUCCUCCCUCUGCAAGCUCUGUCCUCAUUGCAUGUACUUUCUCAGGAACCUUUCAAGCGGCCAGAACCCCUGUGAAUCACACAUGAUCUUUGCGGGAAGGUCAGGAGGCCUGUCUAAGUCAAGUCAGCACAGGAAGGGCAUCUGACAGAUUCCAGGCCUGAGGUUAGCAGCCUGUGCCCCCAGCUGGGAGAUCAGACCCAGUAUUGGUCCUGCCACCUAUGUGCUGUGUGAGAGGAGAAUCCCUGACCCCUGCCCUAGGCCUAGGCCUUAACAAACAUCUGACGAAUGAAUGAAGGGUUGCCUCAGCACCAGUGCUCCAAGUCCUGUGAUGCUAAGUGCUUUUCUCCUCUGAGUCUUAGCAAUGGACAAUUCCAAUACCACCACACAGGACACUAGAGUAAGAAUACUUCAAAGUUAGUGCUGUGCUGAGGCCUUAACUUUAGUUCUGUUUUGCAACUGGAUUUAGGAGCACAUCAAAGCCACUUCUCAAGCCACCCUCAUUAGCAGGGCUUAUUUGGAGGAGCUGCUGAUGGAGUCCUCGCUGCUCAUGCCCAGAGCCCUCCCAGAGUGCUAUGCAAGUGGCUGCCAUGCAGUUGGGGGUGGGACAUGGUGUUUAGACACAGAUAGGAGUCCAGGGUAUGACUGAUGGAGGCCCCGGCCCACGUGACCAGCAAGGUCAGGGGCCCAGCCGGAUUCCAUCCUGGGGAAGCAAAUGAAUUCUCAGAGGAAGUGGUCUGUGUCUGCAUGAACUGCUCUCAAACCCACAAACAGGCUUCUCUUGCCAACUGACCCAUGACAAAGGGUUCAAGAUUGUUUGAAAUAAAAAAAAAGGGAGCAGGGAGGCAGUAGGUCCUGCAAAAGUAAAUUGUUUAUUUUACAAUAAGAAAGUGAUUACAUAUUUCAUUUUUUUUACAAUGGUCAAAAAUUAGAAGUGAUUGUGAAGAUGAUGUCUACCUGCCUUGCUGAUGAGUAGGAUGUGAUUUGGCUCUUUAGGAAACUGAAUUUGCAGAACUUAAGAAUAUUGAUUUAUAAAGGGCAUGGCCAUUGACCCAGUCCAUCUUAUGCAAACCUGGAUUCCAUAAAUAAUAUUUAAAAAUGAAAGUAUUGGGGUGGAGGUUGCAGUGAGCGGAGAUCGCGCCACUACACUGCAGCCUGGUCGACAGAGUGAGACUCUGUCUCAAAACGAAAAAAGAAAAAGAAGAAGCCAUUCCCAACGUUGCUCAUCAAAUUAUGACCAUAAAUUUCCAGGAUCAGACUAACGGCUAAAGAGACUGAUCCAUCAACACCAAGCAGAGAAUAAAGCAGAUUUCUUUUUUUUUUUUCUGUUUUGGAGAGCCUCUAGGAACUUGAAAAA